GACACAUGCAGGAGCCCCGCCCCUCCUCUCCCUGAGGCCACGCCCCAGCUCCUCCUCUUCCCCCGAGGCCCUGCCCAGUGGCCAGACUGGAAGCCAGGCUGCGAUACCACCUGCACAGGGAGCCGCAGUGCUGAUUAGGGUGACCAGGAGUCUGAUUUUGGACUGGAACACGGGGUCAAAAAGGGAUCCUGGAGGCUCCAGUCCGCACGCUAACCGGGCCGUUGACUGUUCAAUUGGCAGGCUCCCAGCGGGGGAGGGAGCAGCAAUGCCAGCUGCUCCAUCACUGCAUCCAGGUGUAAUUCAUAACAAGACGCAGCCACGUCAUCUCUAGUCGCAGGCCAUGAGGAGCAGGUCCUUAAAAGGGGAAGCGGCCACCUGCUCAGGAGUGCACUCACAAGCUUGUACCUCCCUGUGAAGGCCCUUCGCCGGGACUGCCUGGCCAGUGGUUCCCCGCGUUGCAGGCCAUCGUGCCUUGGGAAGACUGACUGUCAUACGCUUACCCUGAAGAAUCCUGACCUCGCCAGUGCUGUGCCUGUCCUGGGAGCGUUUGUCACCAAAAUCAUCCACCUUCUCCUGAUGGACGCCUAGAAAAUCCCCUGAAAUGUUAGAAUUGACCAGAUGCAGCCAUUGAAACAGACCAGUGGUGAGGAGUUAAGUGCAGGGCCUCAUUUUGCUAGGCCAAAAACAGAUCAAGAGAUUAGACAGCACUCUUAGGUUAUGGCUUCUGAUGCAACUGCAAACUGUAAGUACAUGGUUAUGUACAACAAAUAAAUAUGUACAUAUCCAUGU
Chelonia mydas (Green sea turtle) is the source of this 789-nucleotide long non-coding RNA. RefSeq lists it as uncharacterized. NCBI's taxonomy places the organism in Eukaryota, Metazoa, Chordata, Testudines, Cheloniidae. The record is from RefSeq and is a predicted model, not a curated record. The transcript has 3 exons.